GACGAACGCUGGCGGGGUGCGUAAUACAUGCAAGUCGAGCGGACCUUCGGGUCAGCGGCGGACGGGUGAGGAACACGUGAGUGAUCGGGCUGUGAGUGGGGGAUAUCGGGCCGAAAGGCGCGGCAAUCCCGCAUACGUUCCGGGAACCGGAAGAAAGCUUGGCAACAGGCGCUCACAGGGGAGCUCGCGGCCCAUUAGCUAGUUGGGGGGGUAACGGCCUCCCAAGGCGACGAUGGGUAGCCGGCCUGAGAGGGUGAACGGCCACACUGGGACUGAGACACGGCCCAGACUCCUACGGGAGGCAGCAGUAGGGAAUCUUCCACAAUGGGCGCAAGCCUGAUGGAGCAACGCCGCGUGAGUGAAGACGGCCUUCGGGUUGUAAAGCUCUGUCUGUCGGGACGAAACCGGCCCGGAAGGGCCGGGGAGCCGGUACCGACGGAGGAAGCCCCUGCAAACUACGUGCCAGCAGCCGCGGUAAGACGUAGGGGGCAAGCGUUGUCCGGAAUUACUGGGCGUAAAGGGCGUGUAGGCGGUGCGAUACGUAGCGGUUUUAAGCCUCCGGCUCACCCGGAGGAGGGCGGCUAAACGGUCGCGCUAGAGGGCAGAGAGGUGCGUGGAAUUCCUGGUGGAGCGGUGAAAUGCGUAAGAUCAGGAAGACACCCGUGGCGAAAGCGGCGCACUGGCCUGGCCCUGACGCUGAGCGCGACAGCGUGGGGAGCGAACGGGAUUAAAUACCCCGGUAGUCCACCCGUAACAUGGUACUAGGUGUCGCCCGGUCCACCGGCNGUGCCGACUACCAUAAUACCCCCUGGGAUCCGCCAAGUAACAAAAUACGGGCCCCACAACAUGAACUUUUAUUCACCACCCAACUACAGAUGAC
This 880-nucleotide ribosomal RNA is filed under the name Sulfobacillus thermosulfidooxidans. Its description in RNAcentral is "bacterial SSU rRNA". It matches the Rfam family "Bacterial small subunit ribosomal RNA". Lineage: Bacteria; Bacillati; Bacillota; Clostridia; Eubacteriales; Clostridiales Family XVII. Incertae Sedis. The record is from RNAcentral.